Molecule: transfer RNA, 74 nt
Filed under: Bacteroidia bacterium
Lineage: Bacteria; Pseudomonadati; Bacteroidota; Bacteroidia
Description: tRNA-Leu
Rfam family: tRNA
About the family: Transfer RNA (tRNA) molecules are approximately 80 nucleotides in length.
Source: RNAcentral
GCUCCGGUAGCGCAAAUGGAAGAGGCAUCAGGUUUAAGCCCUGUCAAGUUCCGGUUCGAAUCCGGAUCGGAGUA